This 438-nucleotide ribosomal RNA is filed under the name uncultured bacterium. Its description in RNAcentral is "partial 16S ribosomal RNA". It matches the Rfam family "Bacterial small subunit ribosomal RNA", at positions 338 to 795 of the family's 1533-position model. The record is from RNAcentral.
CCUACGGUGCAGCAGUGGGGAAUAUUGCACAAUGGGGGAAACCCUGAUGCAGCGACGCCGCGUGAGUGAGGAAGUAUUUCGGUAUGGAAAGCUCUAUCAGCAGGGAAGAAAAUGACGGUAACUGACGAAGAAGCCACGGCUAACUACGUGCCAGCAGCCGCGGUAAUACGUAGGGGGCAAGCGUUAUCCGGAUUUACUGGGUGGAAAGGGAGCGUAGACGUAAUUGCAAGUCUGAUGUGAAAAUCCGGGGCCCAACCCCGGAACUGCAUUGGAAACUGUAUUUCAAGGGUGUCGGAGAGGCAAGUGGAAUUCCUGGUGUAGCGGUGAAAUGCGUAGAUAUCAGGAGGAACACCAGUGGCGAAGGCGGCUUGCUGGACGAUGACUGACGUUGCGGCUCGAAAGCGUGGGGAGCAAACAGGAUUAGAUACCCUGGUAGUC